This 627-nucleotide ribosomal RNA is filed under the name uncultured bacterium. Its description in RNAcentral is "bacterial SSU rRNA". It matches the Rfam family "Bacterial small subunit ribosomal RNA", at positions 338 to 959 of the family's 1533-position model. The record is from RNAcentral.
CCUACGGGAGGCAGCAGUGGGGAAUUUUGGACAAUGGGCGCAAGCCUGAUCCAGCAAUGCCGCGUGAGUGAAGAAGGCCUUCGGGUUGUAAAGCUCUUUUGUCAGGGAAGAAACGGUCUCAGCUAAUAUCUGGGGCUAAUGACGGUACCUGAAGAAUAAGCACCGGCUAACUACGUGCCAGCAGCCGCGGUAAUACGUAGGGUGCAAGCGUUAAUCGGAAUUACUGGGCGUAAAGCGUGCGCAGGCGGUUUUGUAAGUCUGUCGUGAAAGCCCCGGGCUCAACCUGGGAAUUGCGAUGGAGACUGCAAGGCUUGAAUCUGGCAGAGGGGGGUAGAAUUCCACGUGUAGCAGUGAAAUGCGUAGAGAUGUGGAGGAACACCGAUGGCGAAGGCAGCCCCCUGGGUCAAGAUUGACGCUCAUGCACGAAAGCGUGGGGAGCAAACAGGAUUAGAUACCCUGGUAGUCCACGCCCUAAACGAUGUCUACUAGUUGUCGGGUUUUAAUUAACUUGGUAACGCAGCUAACGCGUGAAGUAGACCGCCUGGGGAGUACGGUCGGCAAGAUUAAAACNCAAAUGAAGUUGAACGGCUAGAGACGUAGACGAGGACGACGACGAGGGAGGAGGAG